RNAcentral lists this long non-coding RNA (9117 nucleotides) under Ananas comosus (pineapple). Its description in RNAcentral is "long non-coding RNA (ACOM_LNC017697)". The record is from RNAcentral. Lineage: Eukaryota; Viridiplantae; Streptophyta; Magnoliopsida; Poales; Bromeliaceae.
UGUUCUGAGCGCCCUAAAGUGGAUCCGAAUCUUUUGAGACCUUUUGGAUCCUCCCUGUUUGCUGUUCGGGUGAUCCAGAAACACCGAGACUAUUUGACUUGACAGGUUGCAUAUCAGCGCGCAAUCUGGGCGCCCAGAUUUUAUGGAAGCAGUGGCGCACGCAAUAUGGACUGUCUGGCAAGAAAGUCAGCACGAGAUCUGGGCGCCCACAACUUUUGAUGGCUCGAAUCCAGAAAAACGGCGCGUGUCAGAAAAGCGGUUCCUCGUGUUCUGUGCGCCCACAACUUUUGAUGGCCCAGAACUUACGAAGUCAAGAAAAGCUGCGAGUGUCAGAAAAGCUGUCCCUCAAGAUCUGGGCGCCCACAACUUUUGACGGCCCAGACAUACAAAGUCAAGAAAAGCGGCGCACGUGGUCCGACAGGCAGUUGGCGUGCACAAACUUCUGGGCGCUCGGAAACAGUUUUAGGGCACCCGAAAGUACAACCGACAGAGGCUGCCCGAGGCUAUAAAUAGAUGGUAUUGAGGCAUCUCUCAGUAGCAACUUGAUAGUUUAUUUUGAGCUUAAAAACUUCAGUGAUCUUAACACUCUUAGCUCUCAAUUUUCUCUCUAAACUUGAAUGAAAUUUGUAGUGAGAUUUAAUCUUGUAAAAAGAAAGAAAAGCAAAGUCUUGAAGCUUGAAAGAAGAAGGAGUUGGUGUGAAGGCUUGGUGCUUGCUCGCAAAAGCAUCAUCUAGUGGAGAUCAGACAUUCUCGAGUGUUGAGAAGUUGGCGGGGACGUAGGCAAAGUGCCGAACCUCGAAACAAAUUGAUCGUGUGCUUUUCGAGUUUGCAUUUCCUUUAUUUGCAUCGGUUUUUAAUUUGCUUGAUUAUUUGGAUUUUUAUUUUAGAAACCUAAUUCACCCCCCUCUUAGGUUGCCAUUUUGAUCUUCAAUUGGUAUCAGAGCGAGGUCUCACAUUAUUUAGAUUAAAUUCUAAGUGAGAAUGGCAUCCACGGGAAAGAAUAUCGAAGGACAAUCUAUUGUUCGACUACCAUUUUUUGAUGGGACCGAUUAUCCUUUUUGGAAGACUAGAAUGAAGAUAUUCUUUCAAUCUCUAGAUUUUGAUAUUUGGGAUAUAAUCGAAAGUGGUUAUAUCGCUCCAUCAAAAUCAAGAGCGGAAUGGAAUGAAGCCGAAAAAUUUCGCUUUCAAUUGAAUGCUAAAGCUAUCAAUUCAUUCCUUUGCGCUCUUAGUAGAGAAGAGUUUCACCGAAUCUCUACAUGCACAACGGCUUAUUCUGUAUCCUAACUCGAAACGAGGAGCUCCGUUUAAACCCGUUGAAACAAAAGGCUAAGUAGUAGCGAUCUAAGCAGCCCCCGCAGGGUUAAAUCACGUAACUUCCGAAAGAAAAAGAACAGAAAGAAUUUUCAAAACAAACCUUCUCACGUAAGUGAAAAGUUUACAGGGCCAAAGAAUGUUAACAUCGUUCACUAAGGAAAGAACUUAGGAAGUGGAAACUUGGGCAGAGCAAAUCCAGAGGAGUUCAACGCGAAGAACUAAUCAGCUAGCUCGGAAAAACUUUAGUAUCGCUAAAGAAGCGAGCUUGGAAGAAGCGGUAGAAGUGAGAGCCUUCGUUACUGAGGGAAUUCACGUUCUGAAAAGAAAAAGAGUCCUUGUCGAAGCAACAGUAUAAGAAACUCCGCAACAAGUACGCGGAACUCACUAGGUUGUUCAAGUAGUUAAAAAUGAAACAGGUUCAGUACUCGAAGAACCUAUCGGCAUUGGAAUCCAUAGGUUGAAGAACCAUCAUGUGUUUCUUCAAAAGCAUGGUUCAGGCUAAUUCCUUUUAGGAAUGGAUUCCGAAAGUUCGAUAAAUAUUACAAUCAUUUAGAACACUUGUAUAAGCUUUACCUAAGUGAAAGAAGGUAAAACUUAUCAAGUAUUAAACUGUAUUCGUACAAAUAAAAUCUAAGGAAAUGGGAUCUUCAUGGAAGUACUCAUUGAAGAUUAAAUAGGGUUUAGAGAAANAUAAUUUAAGUUAUGAUGAACUUUUAUAAGCUUUCUUUUCUUUAUAUGAUAAUCUACAAAGUUUGGGUCUGAAAUAUACAUCUCUCAAAAAGUAAAAUGCCUUAUUAGAGAUGGAAGUAAACAACUUAAAAUCUUCAACUUCAAAUCCUUCUUUAAUACCUGAAAAUGAGGACCCCUUACUCACGAAAGAGCUUAAACAAGCCAAUGAGACAUGUUAUAGUCUCAAUCAUGAAAAUGAAGCAUUAAAGAAGAAAAUUGAAGGUCAAAAUUUUAAGCCAAACUUUCAUUAUGACAAACAACUUGAAAAACUUCAAGUUGAAAACCAACAACUCAAAGUUAGCUUAGAUGAAGCUAAGAAAAUAAACUCUUGAGAAAUUUGUUGGUGGAACCAAGCAUCUAAAUAUGAUGCUUGGAAGUCAAGUUGUAAACUUCAAAAAGUUUGGGAUAGGUUAUGUUCCUAAUCCAAACAAUGUUAAAUUGACAAAAGCUAAAAAAAGGUUUCUGUUAAAAGUACAAAUCAAAACCCAACUUUGCAUUGCUCCUAUUGUAAUAUUAAAGGACAUCAUAUAUCCUCUUGCAAAUAUAAGAAGAAUCCUAAACUUAACCAAAUUUGGGUUGUGAAAGGUUUAUCUAACUCAAAAGGACCCAAUCUCACUUGGGUACCAAAGUUAAAAACUUGAUUUGUUUUUGUAGGUGUGUCUCCAAUCAAAAGGUGCAAGUGACAAAUGGUACUUAGAUAGCGGAUGCUCAAGACACAUGACUUGGGAUCAAACCAAGUUUAAAUCAAUUGAAAUGAAAGACGGAGGAUUUGUCACCUUUGGAGACAACACGAGAGGAAAGAUCAUUGGAAUCGGCACAAUCGGUGAUGAAAAGGUUAACAUUUCCAAUGUUCUUUUAGUUGAUGGCCUUAAACAUAAUUUACUAAGUAUUAGUCAAUUAUGUGAUAAAGGCUAUUUUGUAAAAUUUGAAGCAUCUCAUUGUAGCAUCCUUGAUCCUUCUACAAAUGAGGUAGCUUUUAUGGGUUUUAGAUCCAAGAAUGUUUAUACCGUUGAUUUAGGCAAACUCUCACAUGAAGGUGAAAAAUAUUUUUCGGUUCAAACUAACGAAUCUUGGCUUUGGCAUAGAAGAUUAGCACAUGCUAAUAUGGACUCUCUUUCUAAACUUUCCAAAAGAAAACUUGUGAAAGGAUUACCUAAAAUAGACUAUGCCAAAGGUGAGGUUUGUAAUGCUUGUGCUCAAGCUAAGCAAGUAAAAUCAUCUUUUAAACCCAAAAAUGUUGUCUCAACAACUAGGCCUUUAGAGUUAAUUCAUAUGGAUCUCUUUGGACCAAUUGAUGUCUCUAGCCUUGGUGGAAGCAACUAUGUUUUCGUAAUUGUUGAUGAUUACUCAAGAUUUACUUGGACUUUAUUUUUAAGACACAAGUAUGAUACUUUUAAAUCCUUCAAGGACUUUGUCUAUCGUGUUCAAAAUGAAAAGAAUUGUAUAAUUUCCAAAAUUAGAAGUGAUCAUGGAGGUGAAUUCGAAAAUCAUAACUUUGAAGAGUUUUGCAAUGAAUUGGGAAUAGAACAUCAAUUUGCUACCCCUCGAACACCUCAACAAAAUGGGGUCGUUGAACGCAAAAAUAGAUCUCUCCAAGAAAUGGCUAGAUCUAUGUUAAUUGAGGGGGAGUUGCCUAAAUAUUUUUGGGCCGAAGCCGUAAACACGGCUUGCUAUAUUAUGAAUCGUGUUCUAAUUCGACCAAUCCUUGAGAAAACUCCUUUCGAAUUAUGGCAUAAUAGAACUCCCAAUAUUGGUUACUUCAAAAUUUUUGGUUGUAAAUGUUUCAUUUUAAACACAAAAGACAAGUUGGGAAAGUUUGAUGCUAAAUCCGAUGAAGCUAUAUUCUUGGGUUAUUCCUCUACUAGUAAAGCUUAUCGAGUGUAUAAUCGACGAACUUUAAUAAUAGAGGAAAGUAUGCAUAUUCUUUUUGAAGAAUAUAAGGGAAAGGAUCUUUCUUAUGAAGAUGAUCUUCUUGACUUUGAGAAGCUAAAUAUAAACUCCACACCCCAAGAAGUUGAACCAUCUAAGAAAAGUGAGGAGUUAAUCUCUAAAGAGAUUGAACCCACUCCCUUACCUAAAGUGUGGAAAUUCGCCACUUAUCAUCCCAAGGACUCCAUCAUUGGAGAUCCAAGUCAAAAAGUCAAAACAAGAUCCUCUCUUAGAUUACUUUGUGACCACUUGGCUUUCAUAUCUCAAAUUGAACCUAAAAAUUUUGUUGAAGCUAGCAAUGAUGAAAAUUGGCUCAUUGCGAUGCAAGAAGAACUUAACCAAUUUGAGAGGAACCAAGUUUGGACGCUUGUGGAAAGGCCAAGUGAUCAUACCGUUAUUGGCACUAAAUGGGUCUUCCGAAACAAGCGAGAUGAAUCAGGUGUUGUGGUUCGAAACAAGGCUAGACUAGUGGCCCAAGGUUUCAACCAAAUUGAAGGAAUUGAUUUUGAUGAAACAUUUGCACCGGUUGCUAGACUUGAAGCUAUUCGAAUUCUUCUAGCAUUUGCUUCUUAUAUGAAUUUCAAAUUAUUUCAAAUGGAUGUAAAAAGUGCUUUCUUAAAUGGAUAUAUUUCCGAAGAAGUUUAUGUUGAGCAACCACCCGGUUUUGAAAAACAUAACUUUCCGGAUCACGUUUUUAAGCUUUCAAAGGCACUUUACGGUUUAAAACAAGCUCCUAGAGCCUGGUAUGAAAGACUUAGCACUUUUCUUACUUCAAAUAAUUUUUCAAGAGGAAAAGUUGACACCACAUUAUUUAUCAAAAUUAAGGAUAAAGAUUUUCUCAUUGUACAAAUUUAUGUGGAUGAUAUUAUAUUUGGUGCUACUAAUGAAUCUCUCUGUAAAGAAUUCUCUAAGCUAAUGCAAAAUGAGUUUGAAAUGAGCAUGAUGGGCGAGCUCUCAUUCUUCCUUGGACUCCAAGUUAAACAAAUGAAAGAUGGAAUAUUCAUCAAUCAAGCCAAGUAUGCAAAAGACCUAAUCAAAAGAUUUGGCUUGGAAAGCUCAAAAGAGACGAACACUCCAAUGAGUGCCUCAACUAAACUUGACAAGGAUGAAAAAGGCAAGGAUGUUGAUAUCAAACUCUACCGAGGUAUGAUUGGCAGUUUACUUUAUCUUACCGCGAGUCGGCCGGACAUUAUGUUUAGUGUUUGCUUGUGUGCUCGGUUUCAAGCUCAACCUAAGGAGUCACACUUAGUGGCUGUAAAGAGAAUUCUUAGAUAUGUUAAAGGGACUCUCAACUUAGGGUUAUGGUAUCCCAAGGGCACUAAUUUUAAUCUCAUUGGCUUUUCAGAUGCCGACUUUGCCGGAUGCAAAGUUGAUCGGAAAAGUACGAGUGGGACUUGUCAAUUUCUUGGUCACUCCUUAGUCUCAUGGUCUUCGAAAAAGCAAAAUUCGGUUGCACUUUCAACCGCCGAAGCCGAGUACAUCGCGGCAGGUUGUUGUUGUGCACAAGUUUUAUGGAUGAAACAAACCCUUGAGGACUUUGGAGUACAUCAAAAACAAGUUCCAAUCAAAUGUGAUAAUACUAGUGCCAUCAACAUAUCUAAAAAUCCUAUUCAACAUUCUAGAACUAAACACAUUGAAAUUAGACAUCAUUUUAUUAGAGAUCAUAUUCAAAAAGAAGAUGUCACUAUAGAAUUUGUGGACACUUAUAAUCAAUUAGCGGACAUUUUUACUAAACCACUUAGUAAGGAUAGGUUCACUCAACUUAGAAGAGAAUUGGGAAUGAUUGACUUAUCUGCUUGAUUUUCUCUUUUUGAUUGACUGUUAUGAUUGCCUUGCAAUUUCUUUUGGAUACACCUUUUGCUUUGCGAAAAUUUCGGACGAAAAAUUUCGGUAGCCCGAAAAUUUCCGGGCGCCCGAAACAUGCGUUGACCGCGGUGCCCCGUCUGACCGACUUAACGGGUUACCGGGUUCCGGAUCCGGGCGACCGAUCCAACCGGCAACUCGUGCCCGAAAAUCCGCCUUGACCGCCGCGCCGCUUUGACCGCCUUAGCGGGUUCCGGGUUGCGGAUCUGGGCGACCGCGUCGACCCGCACGACCGCCCGAAACCCGCGAGGGGGCCCUCUUCCUCCCAGCCGCCCGACAGACCCAUUCCUUUCAUUUUUUUCUCUUUUUCUUCUCUUCUUCUUCCUCCACUCCGUCCGGUCGCCCAGAUUCUGCGCCCAGCCCACAUCAAAUCCGCCCAAAACUCCUCCAAAACUCGGAUUUCCUCUCCUUUCCUCCUCAGUCUGUGGUAUUUUCUUCUUCUUUUAUUUUAUUUUUCUUUUCUUUCUUCUUCCUGCUGCUUGUUAACUCUAACUUUUUUUUUGAUUACUUGUACUUUUUGCUAAAAAAAAUCUCAUCAUCCACCUUGAUCUACACUGAUCUUCCAUCUUGCUCAAUUUUUCUUUUGCAUAAAACCCUAGUUUCUUUUUUUUUCUUUUUCUUCCUGCUGUUAACCCCGACUAUGUUCUUCUUUUAUUUUUUUUACUGAUUUCUUGUAUUUUGUGCAGCAUAAUCUUUUCCUUUACCAUGAUCUUUACCAUUGCAUCCUAGAUCUUGCAUUUUGAUUCUAAGUUUAAAAAAAAAAAAAACCCUAGCUGUUAGUUUAUUUAAAAAAAAAAUGCCUAGAACUAAAAAUGCACCUCGUGGACCUUCACAAAGAGAUUAUCAAAAUGAAGAUUUUGAUGCUUUUAACUUUGUAUCUAGAGAAGCUCAAGAUAAAUAUCUUUUAGGUCGUCCCAUUCAACCUUGCUGUAACAUUUAUCAUCUAAACUUUGAUUGUUAUAAACUUUUAGAUAAGCUCACACAAGUUGGAUGGGAUUUCUUUGUUCAAAAUUCGUGACCUUUUUAUCCGGACUUAAUUAGGACUUUUUAUGCAAAUGCCACUUUUAAUUCCGAAUUUAAUACUAUUACUUCCCACUUCCGGGGACGUGUUUUUGCCAUCACUCCUAUCCUUCUUCACACUGUUUUAAACAUUCCAAACGACGGGGUUUGCUAUUACCAAACCAACACUUGGAAUUUUCCCGCAUUUUCUGAAGCGCAACUCCGCAAUCAUUUUCUCUGUGAAGAUUCUACUUCACGCGAAGAUUGCUCUCAUCUUUCCUUUCCUCACCGCCUCGCCCACUUUUCACUUACAAAAGUAGUUCUUCCUCGAGACGGUCACCACAUCGCUGUUCAAAAAAUGGAUAUUUUUCUACUUUAUCAUCUAUUUGCGGACAUCCGAGUUAAUUUGGGGUAUAUCAUCAUUCGCCACAUGGCCGUCGCCAUUUCUCAUCCCUCGCGCUCACUUCCAUAUGGCUCUUUGCUCACCGCUGUCCUCGAGUUCAUGUCGUUUGAUCUUUCCGACGUGAGGCCGAUGAAGUACCCCACUGUCAUUUCUACAGCCACUUUCUCCACUCUCAGCUUCAAGAAAAAUCGUCAUGGCAUUUGGGUAAGGAAACAUGUGAUUGAUUCGCCCAGCGAGCAUGGUGAUGACAUUGACGACGCCGAGGAUGAUCCUAUGCCUUAUGAGCCGCCCCCUCGAGCACCUUCUCCACCAGUUGAGCCGCCGCCACGGGCAUCUCCUCCACCCUUUGAGCCACCCCCUGCUAUGCCUCCGCCUUAUGCUCCUCCUCCUAUGGAUUUUCAAAACCAGGUUUUUACUUGACUUGAUAGGAUGGAAGAACAUAUGCACACAUUACAGACAGACGUUUCCGACAUCAAGGCAUACAUGGACUCUCUUUUUGGACCUUCUAGUGCCUUUUAUGCUGCGUAUGGACCCCACACUGAUCGACCAUCCUCCUCCACUAUGCCUCCACCAGUUUCGCCUACGGAUCAUGAGGACGAUGAAGGGGAUGACGAUGAUGAUGAUGAUUAGCUUAUGUUUCUACCACUUUUAUAUUUUUUUUGUGAUGACAAAGGGGGAGAACUUGCUAUGUGAUAAACUAUGCUAUGCUUGUGAUCUAUUUAUCUUUUAUUAUCACGUAUGCUAUGCUUGUGGUUUAUUAUGUUCUAUUAUGCUAUGUGAACCUCGUUUCCAUUUUGAUUUUUGCCUACAUGAUUGCUUACUUCCUUUAUUGUGAUAUAUGCUAUGCCUAUGAUUGUGUUAUAUGCUUGUUAAUUAUAUGCAUAUAUUUAGGGGGAGUAUUCUACUCUUUUCUAUUCAUUUGGAUAUUAUAUCACAUUAUUUGUCAUCAUCAAAAAGGGGGAGAUUGUUGGCCUAGUGGCCCUAAUCUUCUAUUAGAUUUUGAUGAUAACAAAUAAUUACGAUUAUUGGACUAAUCUUUUAUCUUGAGUUUUGUGUUUUAGAUCUCUCGAUAUUCAAAAAGGAUUCAAGAUGGAAAAUAUCCUAGCACCAAGCUUCACCACUUGAAGCUGUAUUUGCUUCCUUUGUCAAAUAGACAAACUCACUCUCUCCAUUCUUAAUUUGCUUCCUUUUACCUUAUGAUUAGAGUGAGAAAUUUUGAGCUAAGUUUAAACUAUUCAUUUUAUCACCUUAUAGAUCACUUAAACAAAUUCCUAACUUGUGAUUAGGUGAAUAGAAUUUUUAAAUAUUCAAAAACUGCUCAAAUUCUGUGUUCUGUCAAAUUAAAAUUUCUGGACCCUGUUCUGGGCGUCCUAAAGUGGAUCCGAAUCUUUUGAGACCUUUUGGAUCCUCCCUGUUUGCUGUUCGGGUGAUCCAGAAACACCGAGACUAUUUGACUUAACAGGUUGCAUAUCAGCGCGCAAUCUGGGCGCCCAGAUUUUAUGGAAGCAGCGGUGCACGCAAUCUGGACUGUCUGGCAAGAAAGUCAGCACGAGAUCUAGGCGCCCACAACUUUUGAUGGCUCGAAUCCAGAAAAACGGCGCGUGUCAGAAAAGCGGUUCCUCGUGUUCUUUGCGCCCACAACUUUUGACGGCCCAGAACUUACGAAGUCAAGAAAAGCUGCGAGUGUCAGAAAAGCUGUCCCUCGAGAUCUGGGCGCCUACAACUUUUGACGGCCCAAACAUACAAAGUCAAGAAAAGCGGCGCACGUGGUCCGACAGGCAGCUGGCGUGCACAAACUUCUGGGCGCCCGGAAACAGUUUUAGGGCGCCCGAAAGUACAACCGACAGAGACUGCCCGAGGCUAUAAAUAGAUGGUAUUGA